CCUGGCGGCACUAGCGCGGUGGUCCCACCUGACCCCAUGCCGAACUCAGAAGUGAAACGCCGUAGCGCCGAUGGUAGUGUGGGGUCUCCCCAUGUGAGAGUAGGGAACAGC
Molecule: ribosomal RNA, 111 nt
Filed under: Klebsiella pneumoniae
Lineage: Bacteria; Pseudomonadati; Pseudomonadota; Gammaproteobacteria; Enterobacterales; Enterobacteriaceae
Source: RNAcentral